CAUCUAUUGCUUCCACGUAUCUCUUAUCUUUUAGAUAGUUGAAAGCAAGUUUAAAUCCUACAGCAAGAGAGGAAAAGAUCAUUUUGCAUAUGAAAUCUAUGAAGUGAGAGAACACCAGUGUCUUGGCCUUCUAACAGUGAGGAGCCUACCAGACUAAGGGUAGCAACAGAUUAUACAUCCCGUCUGAAUAAACUGAAGAUUUAGGUGCAUUACGUAAAUGGGCAUAAA
Podarcis raffonei (Aeolian wall lizard) is the source of this 228-nucleotide long non-coding RNA. RefSeq lists it as uncharacterized. The record is from RefSeq and is a predicted model, not a curated record. NCBI's taxonomy places the organism in Eukaryota, Metazoa, Chordata, Lepidosauria, Squamata, Lacertidae. The transcript has 2 exons.